Molecule: ribosomal RNA, 253 nt
Filed under: uncultured bacterium
Lineage: Bacteria
Description: partial 16S ribosomal RNA
Rfam family: Archaeal small subunit ribosomal RNA
Source: RNAcentral
UACCUGCAGCCCAAGUGGUGGCCGUUAUUAUUGGGCCUAAAGCGUCCGUAGCCGGUUUGGUAGAUGCCUUUGUAAAUCGAACGGCUCAACCGUUCGAAUUGAGGGUAGACCGCCAGACUCGGGACUGGGAGAGGUGCGAGGUACUCGGGGGGUAGAGGUGAAAUUCUGUAAUCCUCCGGGGACCACCGGUGGCGAAGGCGUCGCACUUGAACAGCUCCGACGGUGAGGGACGAAGCCCUGGGGCGCAAACCGG